This 326-nucleotide ribosomal RNA is filed under the name uncultured eukaryote. Its description in RNAcentral is "partial 18S ribosomal RNA". It matches the Rfam family "Eukaryotic small subunit ribosomal RNA", at positions 1470 to 1796 of the family's 1831-position model. The record is from RNAcentral.
CCCUUAGAUGUUCGGGGCCGCACGCGCGCUACACUGAAGGACUCAGCGUGUCUCUCCCCCUAUCCCGAAAGGGAUGGGCAACCCGUUGAACCUCCUUCGUGCUAGGGAUUGGGGUUUGCAAUUAUCCCCCAUGAACGAGGAAUUCCUAGUAAACGCAAGUCAUCAGCUUGCAUUGAUUACGUCCCUGCCCUUUGUACACACCGCCCGUCGCACCUACCGAUUGAAUGGUCCGGUGAAAUCUCCGGACUGGCGUGAGUCGGAGCAAUCUGACAAACACCGGAAAGUUGAUUAAACCUUACCAUUUAGAGGAAGGUGAAGUCGUAACA